CAGCAGCCGCGGUAAUACCGAGGGUGCGAGCGUUAAUCGGAUUUACUGGGCGUAAAGCGUGCGUAGGCGGCUUUUUAAGUCGGAUGUGAAAUCCCCGAGCUUAACUUGGGAAUUGCAUUCGAUACUGGGAAGCUAGAGUAUGGGAGAGGAUGGUAGAAUUCCAGGUGUAGCGGUGAAAUGCGUAGAGAUCUGGAGGAAUACCGAUGGCGAAGGCAGCCAUCUGGCCUAAUACUGACGCUGAGGUACGAAAGCAUGGGGAGCAAACAGGAUUAGAUACCCCGUAGUCCCUGUCUCUUAUACA
RNAcentral lists this ribosomal RNA (301 nucleotides) under uncultured bacterium. Its description in RNAcentral is "partial 16S ribosomal RNA". It matches the Rfam family "Bacterial small subunit ribosomal RNA", at positions 509 to 808 of the family's 1533-position model. The record is from RNAcentral.